UUUUCGGAGAGUUUGAUCCUGGCUCAGAGUGAACGCUGGCGGCGUAGAUUAGGCAUGCAAGUCGAGCGAUACCCGGGUUGGAGAGUUUGAAGCCGUAAGGCAGAUGACAAUUUGACCUGGGAUAUAGCGGCAGACUGGUGAGGAACACGUGAGUAAUUUACCUUUAAGUCAGGGAUAGCUUCGCGAAAGCGGAGGUAAUACCCGAUGUGUUUACACGAACGCAAGUUUGUGUAAGUAAAGGCGCUUCGUAAGAGGUGAUGCUUAUAGAUGAGCUCGCGUCCUAUCAGCUAGUUGGUAGGGUAAUGGCCUACCAAGGCUUUUGACGGGUAGCUGGCCUGAGAGGGUGGUCAGCCACAUGGGGACUGAGACACUGCCCCAACUCCUACGGGAGGCUGCAGUCGAGGAUAUUUAGCAAUGGGCGAAAGCCUGACUAUGUGACGCCGCGUGAGGGAUGAAGG
This 458-nucleotide ribosomal RNA is filed under the name Candidatus Omnitrophota bacterium. RNAcentral's name for it is "bacterial SSU rRNA". It matches the Rfam family "Bacterial small subunit ribosomal RNA", at positions 1 to 414 of the family's 1533-position model. The record is from RNAcentral. Lineage: Bacteria; Pseudomonadati; Candidatus Omnitrophota.